AGUGAACGCUGGCGGUAGGCUUAACACAUGCAAGUCGAACGGCAGCAUAGUAGGAGCUUGCUCUCACGGGUGGCGAGUGGCGGACGGGUGAGGAAUACAUCGGAAUCUACUUUUUCGUGGGGGAUAACGUAGGGAAACUUACGCUAAUACCGCAUAUGACCUACGGGUGUAAGCCGGGGAUCGUCGAACUAUGCGCGAGUGUAUGAGCCGAUAUCGGAUUAGCUAGUUGGCGGGGUUAAGGCGCACCACGGCGACGUUCCGUAGGUGGUAUGAGAGGAAGGCUCGACACACGGGAACUGAGACACGUCCCCGACACUGAGGGGGGGCAACAGUGGGAAAUAUUGGACAAUGCACGCAAGCCUAAUCCUGCCAAACCGCGUGAGUGCAGAAGACCUUCGGCUUGUUGAGUCCUGUUGUUGGGAAAGACAUGCAGCUGGUUAAUACCCCGCGGUUCUGACGGUACCCAAAGAAUAAGCACCGGCUAACUUCGUG
This 492-nucleotide ribosomal RNA is filed under the name uncultured bacterium. RNAcentral describes it as "partial 16S ribosomal RNA". It matches the Rfam family "Bacterial small subunit ribosomal RNA", at positions 29 to 507 of the family's 1533-position model. The record is from RNAcentral.